GAUGAACGCUGGCGGCGUGCUUAACACAUGCAAGUCGGACGAAGCAAUGAAGCGGAAGUUUUCGGACAGAAGCUUGAUUGACUGAGUGGCGGACGGGUGAGUAACGCGUGGGAAACCUGCCUUAUACGGGGGGAUAACAGUUAGAAAUGACUGCUAAUACCGCAUAAGCCUGCAGCAUCGCAUGAUGCAGGAGGAAAAGGAGCAAUCCGGUAUAAGAUGGUCCCGCGUCUGAUUAGCUAGUUGGUAAGGUAAUGGCCUACCAAGGCGACGAUCAGUAGCCGACCUGAGAGGGUGACCGGCCACAUUGGGACUGAGACACGGCCCAAACUCCUACGGGAGGCAGCAGUGGGGAAUAUUGCACAAUGGGGGAAACCCUGAUGCAGCGACUCCGCGUAAGUGAAGAAGUCAUUCGUGAUGUAAAGCUCUAUCAGCAGGGAAGAAAGUGACAGUACCUGAGUAAGAAGCCCCGGCUAACUACGUGCCAGCAGCCGCGGUAAUACGUAGGGGGCAAGCGUUAUCCGGAUUUACUGGGUGUAAAGGGAGCGUAGGUGGUACUGCAAGUC
This 563-nucleotide ribosomal RNA is filed under the name uncultured bacterium. RNAcentral's name for it is "bacterial SSU rRNA". It matches the Rfam family "Bacterial small subunit ribosomal RNA", at positions 28 to 589 of the family's 1533-position model. The record is from RNAcentral.